This 25-nucleotide non-coding RNA is filed under the name Mus musculus (house mouse). Lineage: Eukaryota; Metazoa; Chordata; Mammalia; Rodentia; Muridae. The record is from RNAcentral.
UAAUUACAAAGGUGUGAUCAGGAGG